UUAUUUUAAUGUUUCGGGGCCGAAAAUGAAGGAAAUUUUUCAAACUUUUUCGGGUUUUCGGUCGCAUGAAAACUUACAUGUGAAUCUGUUUGCGAAGGUUGAUUUAAGGCCCUUUCGUUCGGCCUACAAUUCGCAAAAUUGAUUAAAAUAAAUCGUCCAAAGCAGGUAAAUAGAUAACUAGUAGUGACUUAUUGCAGAAAUUAUUGUUAAACGAAAGAAAGAAAAACAUAAUUAGCUUCGUAAAAUUGAACUUUCUUUAACACUGUAAUCCUGUAAACAUCAAAAUUACGUAUUAACUUGAAGUCCGUAGUCGCGCAGAAUGAAAAGACAAUUGCAUUUUUGAAUAAAAUUUAAAAUUUGACCCAUUCCUAGUUUGUGUAAACAGACAAAAACAAAUUUGUGUGGUAUUUCAAAAUGAACCGCCCAGGAAUUAAUCUACUACUUUUUGACAACUGCCAAAAAUAAAUGGAAUGUAUGUGGAAUGGGUGGAAUGGGUUUCAAUUCAAAAUCUA
This is a long non-coding RNA of Bradysia coprophila, 512 nucleotides long. NCBI's taxonomy places the organism in Eukaryota, Metazoa, Arthropoda, Insecta, Diptera, Sciaridae. The record is from RefSeq and is a predicted model, not a curated record.